This 484-nucleotide ribosomal RNA is filed under the name uncultured bacterium. RNAcentral describes it as "partial 16S ribosomal RNA". It matches the Rfam family "Bacterial small subunit ribosomal RNA", at positions 28 to 507 of the family's 1533-position model. The record is from RNAcentral.
AUUGAACGCUGGCGGCAUGCUUUACACAUGCAAGUCGAACGGCAGCGCGGGCUUCGGCCUGGCGGCGAGUGGCGAACGGGUGAGUAAUGCAUCGGAACGUGCCCAGUAGUGGGGGAUAGCCCGGCGAAAGCCGGAUUAAUACCGCAUACGACCUGAGGGUGAAAGCGGGGGACCGAAAGGCCUCGCGCUAUUGGCGCGGCCGAUGUCGGAUUAGCUAGUUGGUGGGGUAACGGCUUACCAAGGCGACGAUCCGUAGCUGGUCUGAGAGGACGACCAGCCACACUGGGACUGAGACACGGCCCAGACUCCUACGGGAGGCAGCAGUGGGGAAUUUUGGACAAUGGGGGCAACCCUGAUCCAGCCAUGCCGCGUGCGGGAAGAAGGCCUUCGGGUUGUAAACCGCUUUUGUUCGGGAAGAAAUCCUCUGGGCUAAUACCCCGGGGGGAUGACGGUACCGGAAGAAUAAGCACCGGCUAACUACGUG